CAACCCUCGGGCCCCCGUUUGGCCCGGUGUUGGGGUGCUACAGGUCCUUCGGGACCUGUAGGCCCUCAAAACCAGUGGCGGGCUCGCCAUGGCUUCCGAGCGCAGUAGUUGUCUCCUCGCUCAGGUGGUCUGGCGUGCCUCGGCCGUUAAACACCCGCUGUAUACACAGAA
Molecule: unclassified non-coding RNA, 171 nt
Filed under: uncultured fungus
Lineage: Eukaryota; Fungi
Description: sequence contains ITS2
Source: RNAcentral